Molecule: ribosomal RNA, 253 nt
Filed under: uncultured bacterium
Lineage: Bacteria
Description: partial 16S ribosomal RNA
Rfam family: Bacterial small subunit ribosomal RNA
Source: RNAcentral
UACAGAGGUGGCAAGCGUUGUUCGGAAUUACUGGGCGUAAAGGGCGCGUAGUCGGCCUUCUAAGUCAGACGUGAAAUCCCCAGGCUUAACUUGGGAACUGCGUCUGAUACUGGGAGGCUUGAGUGCGGGAGAGGGAUGUGGAAUUCCAGGUGUAGCGGUGAAAUGCGUAGAUAUCGGGAGGAACACCAGUAGCGAAGGCGACACUCUGGGCCGGUACUGACGCUGAGGAGCGAAAGCGUGGGGAGCAAACAGG